AGAGUUUGAUCAUGGCUCAGGACGAACGCUGGCGGCGUGCUUAACACAUGCAAGUCGAACGAUGAAGCCUAGCUUGCUAGGUGGAUUAGUGGCGAACGGGUGAGUAAUACGUGAGUGACCUACCUUUGACUCUGGGAUAAGCCUGGGAAACUGGGUCUAAUACCGGAUACGACCAAUCUCCGCAUGGGGUGUUGGUGGAAAGCGUUAUGGAGUGGUUUUAGAUGGGCUCACGGCCUAUCAGCUUGUUGGUGAGGUAAUGGCUUACCAAGGCGACGACGGGUAGCCGGCCUGAGAGGGUGACCGGCCACACUGGGACUGAGACACGGCCCAGACUCCUACGGGAGGCAGCAGUGGGGAAUAUUGCACAAUGGGCGCAAGCCUGAUGCAGCGACGCCGCGUGAGGGAUGACGGCCUUCGGGUUGUAAACCUCUGUUAGCAUCGAAGAAGCGAAAGUGACGGUAGGUGCAGAGAAAGCGCCGGCUAACUACGUGCCAGCAGCCGCGGUAAUAC
RNAcentral lists this ribosomal RNA (510 nucleotides) under actinobacterium MSB3008. RNAcentral describes it as "bacterial SSU rRNA". It matches the Rfam family "Bacterial small subunit ribosomal RNA", at positions 8 to 526 of the family's 1533-position model. The record is from RNAcentral. Lineage: Bacteria; Bacillati; Actinomycetota; Actinomycetes.